ACCGCGUUCCUGUUCCAGGUACUGGGGCCCCCCCCGGGGGGGCACGGGGGGGACAGGGGGGCCGGGCCCGGGGCUGGCGGGCGGGCGGGCGGGCGCUCCUCCUCCCUCCCUCCCGGCCCCGCUCUCCGGCCCGGCCUUAAUCCCCCUUUGUUUUUCCGCCCGCCCGCCCCGGCGGAGCGGGGCUGCUGAGGGGAAAGGAGGCAGCCUCGCGGGGCGCGGGGGAGAAAGCAGGCCUCGGGGUGACCCCCGGGCCCCCCCAGCGCACACACGCACACGCACACACCCUUCGCUCCCGCCCCGGAGGGGAAGGGAGGAGGCCGGCCGCUGUCACCGCCCGCGGCCCGGAGAAAGGAGGGCGCCGGGCCGCUGGAGAGCGCGGUCCGCUUGGCCGCGGCGCGCCGGGCCGGGGCCCACGCUGUGGGGUGAGGGGGUCCCCGGGUCCCACUCCGUCCC
Molecule: long non-coding RNA, 453 nt
Filed under: Capra hircus (goat)
Lineage: Eukaryota; Metazoa; Chordata; Mammalia; Artiodactyla; Bovidae
Description: lncRNA (ENSCHIG00010018387.1)
Source: RNAcentral